Long non-coding RNA from Cervus elaphus (red deer), 550 nucleotides. RefSeq lists it as uncharacterized. The record is from RefSeq and is a predicted model, not a curated record. NCBI's taxonomy places the organism in Eukaryota, Metazoa, Chordata, Mammalia, Artiodactyla, Cervidae. The transcript is spliced from 3 exons.
UGUCGGUGCAGAAGGAGCUGACUUUGUGGUUUCCGGGCAGGGCUUCCACCAGGACACAAGCAGUGGGGAGGCUGGGGAGACAGACAGGGCGCGACCCAGGCGAGCAGAGGGAAGUGUGGAGGUGGACUCCGGGUUGACGCCGAGGGAGCUGACGUCGGUUUCCCACGAGGGCUGUCAUGAGGUCUGCAGUGGACGCGUGGUUGCCUCUUCACCAAGACCCCACAGACCAACAGGACCAAGCCUUCCCAGUGACCCUGGAGUCACCAGCCCUCUGCAGGUUCAGCUGCCGGCUCCGUGGGGACACUCGUCCUGCCCCUCAUCCCCGUGAUGUCCCUGUCCUCAUUAAGCACACCCCAGCCCACCUGCCCGUCCAGGUGUGAUGGCUGGAGCGGCAGUCACCACCUUGAGGCCUGGAGGGAAAAGUCUGACACUUUGGAAAUGCUGAACCAGUGCCAGCCUCCACCCGUCUGUGAACAUCUCAUUCAGUUCAGUUCAGUCACUCAGUCGUGUCCGACUCUUUGCCACCCCAUGAACCACAGCAUGCCAGGCC